CCUACGGGGUGCAGCAGUGAGGAAUAUUGGUCAAUGGACGAGAGUCUGAACCAGCCAAGUAGCGUGAAGGAUGACUGCCCUAUGGGUUGUAAACUUCUUUUAUAAAGGAAUAAAACGAGGCACGUGUGCCUUUUUGCAUGUACUUUAUGAAUAAGGAUCGGCUAACUCCGUGCCAGCAGCCGCGGUAAUACGGAGGAUCCGAGCGUUAUCCGGAUUUAUUGGGUUUAAAGGGAGCGUAGAUGGGUUGUUAAGUCAGUUGUGAAAGUUUGCGGCUCAACCGUAAAAUUGCAAUUGAUACUGGCAGUCGUGAGUACAGUUGAGGUAGGCGGAAUUCGUGGUGUAGCGGUGAAAUGCUUAGAUAUCACGACGAACCCCGAUUGCGAAGGCAGCUUACUAAACUGUGACUGACAUUGAUGCUCGAAAGUGUGGGUAUCAAACAGGAUUAGAUACCCCGGUAGUC
Molecule: ribosomal RNA, 460 nt
Filed under: uncultured bacterium
Lineage: Bacteria
Description: partial 16S ribosomal RNA
Rfam family: Bacterial small subunit ribosomal RNA
Source: RNAcentral